Molecule: non-coding RNA, 75 nt
Filed under: Eubacterium maltosivorans
Lineage: Bacteria; Bacillati; Bacillota; Clostridia; Eubacteriales; Eubacteriaceae
Description: skipping-rope RNA
Rfam family: skipping-rope RNA
About the family: Firmicutes, Fusobacteria, AlphaProteobacteria, Spirochaetes. Downstream gene
Source: RNAcentral
UAAUUGAGGUUGGAAAUGGCUCCCAACACACUCUUUGGAGUACCUGAGAUGCAGGAUACGCCGCCCUGCCGAUUA